This 252-nucleotide long non-coding RNA is filed under the name Hordeum vulgare. RNAcentral's name for it is "long non-coding RNA (HVUL_LNC010534)". Lineage: Eukaryota; Viridiplantae; Streptophyta; Magnoliopsida; Poales; Poaceae. The record is from RNAcentral.
UUUCUCGUUUGUUUUUGUCCGUAGUCGGACCCUGCACUUCUCCGUGAUGUUUAUGUAUUGUACUGAUGUGACUCUGAUGUAGCAUGUGGCGAGUGUAAGCCAAUUCCAUAUAUCUCAUCUUUUCAGUACAUGUACUUGUAACGAUAUCCAUUCUUGCUAAAUGACGAGAUGCGCUUAUAUCCCUAUCGAGGCCUUCAUGCCAAAAUAAGGAUAGGAUCACAUCUUGGGCGUUACAGAUGGCUCGGGUCCAUC